UUUCAGGCGGCCUCCUGAGAAAUGUUUGCAAUUGUAAGGCGUCUCUCUCAUCCAGGUUUACCCAGAUUCGCAAACUAUGGCGACAAACAACCAUAGCAGAAGCAUGUCCGGAUUAUUUCACAUAUAUCACAAAAUCCUGCAAAGGGUCUGUCCCCAUUGGAUCACCUCCCAUCACGCCACACACGACGUGAAUGACUUCGUGCUUCUCCAUACCUGCAUUGAUCUCUGGGUCCAUUGCCAGUUAUAAACCUCCAAGGGCAAUAGCCAUGAGGUGAUGUACAGUCAAGCAUCACUUAAUAACCAGGAUACAUUCUGAGAAAUUUGUCGUUAGGCAAUUUUUUCAUUGCACGAACCUCACAGAGUGUACUUACACUAACCUAGAUAGUAGCAUCCAGUAAACACCUGGGCUAUAUGGUCUAGCCUAUUGCUCCUAGGCUACAAACCUGUAUAGCAUGUUACUGUACUGAAUAUGUAGGCACUUGUAACACAAUGGUAAGUGUUUUUGUAUCUAAACAUAUCUAAACAUAGGAGAGGUAAUGCAUUGUGCUACAGCAUUACAAUGGCUAUGACAGACACUAGGCAAUAGGAAUUUUCCAGCUCCAUUAUAAUCUUAAGGGACCACCAUGGCACAUGCAGCCCAUUGUUGACCAAAAGUUGUUAUGUGGUGAAUGACUAUAAUUGGCUUUUCAGAGCAACCACUCACAAGGGGGUGUAGUAUAGCUUACUAGACAAAACUGCAGCCGCUGCUCUGUUUUUUGCUCUUAGAAAACUGAGUACCUGAUUUGGACAAAAUCAUAAUAAAAUUUAGAUAGAGCCAACAUUUGUCCUCUGGAAGUUUCUGACAAGAUACAAGUCACCGUUAUAAUAGUCAAAUGUCAAAGUGGUAUAUCUAACAAAAUUAAAACAGACAGCUAGGAGUGAGAAGAUUUAAGAAAAUUCAGGUGGCCCAAAGGAAAGCCAAGACAAGACAUUCUCUCCCGGCCUUUGGGCCUGGAUUUUCAUUUCAGCAGGUAACGAGGAGACCAAAGGCCUAGUUAUUUAUGGAGAUCUGGGGCCACAGCAGAGCUCCUCAUGGCAGGAUAAGGCAGUGGAAAGCAGACUCAACGGUUAACCCACAGUCCUCCUCAGCAAGCUGGGAGAAGCAACUGAUGCCACUUAGAUGCUUAGACCGGGCCUUCUGGGAGAGAUCUGGCCCAAGGAGCAGCCGGCAGCUUGACACAGUGACCAAUUGGAAGCACAGCAGCCACACGCCAUGAAACAAGACGGAGUUUCGCUCUUGGCUGGAGUGCAAUGUCGCAAUCUGGGCUCACCACAACCUCCACCUCCCGGGUUCAAGUGAUUCUCCUGCCUCAGCCUCCCAAGUAGCUGGGAUUACAGGCAUGCACCACCAUACCAGACUAAUUUUGUAAUUUUAGUAGAAACGGGGUUUUUCCAUGUUGGUCAGGCUGGUCCUGAACUCCCGACCUCGGGUGAUCCUCCCACCUCAGCCUCCCUAUAUUAUUAAUCUUAAGUCUAAAUGUUCUAUUAGAAAAGUUACAAUCACAUAUGCAGCUUGCAUUACAUUGCUAAUGGAACACGCUGCUCUAAACCAGGGAUUGGCAAACUAUGGGCAGUGGACAACUUCCAGCCCACUGUCUGUUUCUGUACAGCUGGUAAACAAGGAAUGGUUUUCACAUUUUUAAAUGGCAGAAAAAAAAUAAUUUGUGAUACGUGAACAUUAAUAAAAUUCAAAUUUCAGUGUCCAUGAAGAGUUAUAUUGGAAAAGAGAACCUACAACCAUUGCCUCUCCCGCUGCGUAAGUUCGGCAAAGGCUCACGCUUUUGUCUUUUGUUGGAUGAAUGACUACCAACACCUAGGACAGUGCCUGCACAAAUUAGGUGCCCUAUAAAUAUUUGUUGAGUCACUAAAUUUUAAAAUUCUAGAUUAUGGGGACUGUGUAGGAAGGACCUCAUUCUUUAGAGAACAUGAAUUACCCACUACUACAACUCGCUGUGUCCAUCCCUAAGCCAGAAGAGCGGAGGUUAAGACCCCAAGCAAGCCCACACGUAAUGACACAGGAAUGGAAAGCUGAUGCUCGGCCUGGUCUCCUGCUGAGCCUGGACACAGGCAUAGGCACUGCUGCAAUGGCAAGAGAAGCUCAAAAAGUUUUAAAACAAAAUACAUUAUUUUAUUUCAAUUCCA
RNAcentral lists this long non-coding RNA (2181 nucleotides) under Homo sapiens (human). RNAcentral describes it as "HSALNT0308858". Lineage: Eukaryota; Metazoa; Chordata; Mammalia; Primates; Hominidae. The record is from RNAcentral.